CCGCGGCCCCGCCCCCGCGCGGGCACCUCCCCCUUCCCCGGCUGGGGCGGCUGGAGAGCCGGGAGUCGCUGGGUGCGCGGGGCUGCCUCGCCGCGCCUUGCCACGGGCCCUGCCAGCAGACAGCCUUGGCACACAGGCACAAGGGCUGGAGCCCAGAGAUGAGAGUGCCCAAGGGAGAUGUGAGCCUGGCGGGCUGCCCACUAACCUAUCGCUGAAGCCCCAGAAGCGGGCCCUCAGGCCAGGCCUGCCCCGCCUCCGGCCCAGCAUGCGCCUGUCGGUGCGGAGGGUGCUGCUGGCAGCUGGCUGCGCCCUGGUCCUGGUGCUGGCGGUUCAGCUGGGGCAGCAGGUGCUAGAGUGCCGGGCGGUGCUGGCGGGCCUGCGGAGCCCCCGGGGGGCCAUGCGGCCGGAGCAGGAGGAGCUGGUGAUGGUGGGCACCAACCACGUGGAAUACCGCUACGGCAAGGCCAUGCCGCUCAUCUUCGUGGGUGGCGUGCCUCGCAGUGGCACCACGUUGAUGCGCGCCAUGCUGGACGCCCACCCCGAGGUGCGCUGCGGCGAGGAGACCCGCAUCAUCCCGCGCGUGCUGGCCAUGCGCCAGGCCUGGUCCAAGUCUGGCCGUGAGAAGCUGCGGCUGGACGAGGCGGGGGUGACGGAUGAGGUGCUGGAUGCAGCCAUGCAGGCCUUCAUCCUGGAGGUGAUUGCCAAGCACGGAGAGCCGGCCCGCGUGCUCUGCAACAAGGACCCAUUUACACUUAAGUCCUCGGUCUACCUGUCGCGCCUGUUCCCCAACUCCAAGUUCCUGCUGAUGGUGCGGGACGGCCGGGCCUCCGUGCACUCCAUGAUCACGCGCAAAGUCACCAUCGCGGGCUUUGACCUCAGCAGCUACCGUGACUGCCUCACCAAGUGGAACAAGGCCAUUGAGGUGAUGUACGCCCAGUGCAUGGAGGUGGGCAAGGAGAAGUGCCUGCCUGUGUACUACGAGCAGCUGGUGCUGCACCCCAGGCGCUCACUCAAGCUCAUCCUCGACUUCCUCGGCAUCGCCUGGAGCGACGCUGUCCUCCACCAUGAAGACCUCAUUGGCAAGCCUGGUGGUGUCUCCCUGUCCAAGAUCGAGCGGUCCACGGACCAGGUCAUCAAGCCUGUUAACCUGGAAGCGCUCUCCAAGUGGACUGGCCACAUCCCUGGGGACGUGGUGCGGGACAUGGCCCAGAUCGCCCCCAUGCUGGCUCAGCUCGGCUAUGACCCUUAUGCAAACCCCCCCAACUAUGGCAACCCUGACCCCUUCGUCAUCAACAACACACAGCGGUUGAUUUUGCAGACAUCUAUUUAUGGAAAUACUCAGAGAUUCAACGUACAUACCCAGCCGACAUUGACAGGUCUUGAAAGGGGACUAUAAAACACCAGCCAAUCUGAAAGGAUAUUUUCAGGUGAACCAGAACAGCACCUCCUCCCACUUAGGAAGCUCGUGAUUUCCAGAUCUCUGCAAAUGACUUCAUUGCCAAGAAGAGAAGAAACUGCAUUUAAGUGGAAAUCGGACCUCUAAUCCAAGCAUAUUGCUUGCUAUUAAUCGCCAAAACAGGACUGCUGAUGAGGAAUGUAUUUGCAUAUGUUUGCAAAAGCUGAAUCAUUGAAAACGUACCUUGAAACUCUCUAUCUUUGGACACUCCAGGGUAGAGAAUGAAGGGUAUGGAAGUAGUCCGGCUUUUGAAACUUAGGUAUUUUAUAUUUUUCCCCUCAAGAACUUUUUUUUAAGAGACAGAUUUGCCAUCCUCCUUAAUUUGCAGGACUGCCUUGGUGGCUUUGUUUGCUGGGACAAGGCCCACAACCUGUGCCUCUCCUAUUGACCCUUUGAAUUCAAAGAAUCUAUUUAAGAAUUUAAUAUAUGAGGCUUUCUUUGAUUCCUCCUCCGUUCUACCUAGUUUCACAGAGAAAAAAAAAAUACUCUUUGAAUAAAGUGAACAGAGGCUCAUUUGUUUGUGCCUUACUUUA
Nomascus leucogenys (northern white-cheeked gibbon) is the source of this 1989-nucleotide RNA transcript. It is a transcript of the gene named tyrosylprotein sulfotransferase 2, with no coding region annotated. The transcript is spliced from 8 exons. NCBI's taxonomy places the organism in Eukaryota, Metazoa, Chordata, Mammalia, Primates, Hylobatidae. The record is from RefSeq and is a predicted model, not a curated record.